This 2109-nucleotide long non-coding RNA is filed under the name Anas platyrhynchos platyrhynchos (common mallard). RNAcentral describes it as "lncRNA (ENSAPLG00000029146.1)". The record is from RNAcentral. Lineage: Eukaryota; Metazoa; Chordata; Aves; Anseriformes; Anatidae.
CUUCUAUUUAGCUGGCAAGCAGCACUGAAAGACAAUGUUCAGGCUCAUCUGCAUUGUUUUUAUCCUGAUAUAAUUUUUAUUUCAAGUACCAUUAUACAGUGUUGGGAUGGAAUUGGCUCAAGCUGAUGUCAAUAUUUAUUCUUCCAUAGCAAAUAUAUAAACCUUCUUCCAAAGCUGAGCAUCUUAAACAACAGGAACAACUAGCCAACAUCAGAAAUGAAUAUUACUUAAUAUACCAGUGCAAUUACACAGGCAUGAAGAUGGCAUAUGAGCAGACAGAACUAGAAACAGCACACAGGCAAACAUGGGACACAACAGAAAGUUCUGGAUUAGAAGAAAAUGCUUCCAGAAGGAUCAGCAAAGCAAUCUGAAAAAGGUUUAUGGUGAAGAGUGCUGGAAUAUGAUCUUCAGGCACUGAAGAAAGAAAAGGAAACCUGUACUGAGCAGAGUCAGGACUGUGUGAUGCUUUCUGUACAUAAGCAGCCUUGCAAUGAAGGAAAAGCCCGAGGCAACAUCGAGUCCUCCUUGUAAUGGGAACAGCAAGGUUGACUAUUAACAAACAAACUGUUCAGAUCAGAUGCAGAAAACUACAGUUCGAGUCACAAGGCCCAGAUUCAGAAGCAUUUGAGGGUCACAUCAGAGUCAAAGACACAUCAGCUGAGUUGACAGAAACACAAGAAGCUAGAACCCAUCUGAACAGGAACAGGAAAGGAAGAGAGAUAUCUGACAGGCUCGCUGGGGAGCGGUGUCAACACCCCAUUAAAAAAACAGAUAGGGAGAACUGGUGGUGCUCGCCUCAUUGCCAGGAGCUUCAGAAUAGACCUCUGGGAGAAAAUUCAGUUAAGAAGGUCACAAGAGGGCAGCCACACUUGGAAUGCCACACAGACGUGACAAGAAGCCCAGUUGUCAAGACCAACCAACAACCUACAGGUGAAAGCCUUCAUAAAAUGACUGUGUUCACUCUUUUCUACAGAAUGACCAGAUAUUAUCCAACAGUGCAAAAGGCUUCCUGUGUAACUACUGCUAGAAAGAAAGGCAAACUGCCAGUGGACACCAUCUUCGUCAUCACCAGCUUCCCUUCCCUAGCAGAAACUGCCAAGCUCUCCCAAGGGAAAAACAUCUGAGGACAAGUAUUUUCUGCAAGACCUACAAAGAAGGUUUAAACUCAGCACUGCCCGUUAGGCUUUCAGUUAUCUCCAAGGCUCAACAAAUCUGAGUUAAGUGCCUGAGCUUCCUACACAGCACCCAGGGAGAAGAAGGCAGAUGUCAGACUGCUACAAAGGGGUUGUGUUAAAAAGUCGGUAAAAUUUCCCAGACUGUCAUCUUGCCAGAUUUUGCUGCAGAGACAGCACUUCAAAUCUAAAAGCUGGUGCAAAGCUAGGUUCAUUUUUAACUCUUCAAGAUGUAAAAAGCAGUGUAAUCUUGUGCUGAUGCCUCCUACCUGUUGAGUUUGUGCCAGAACUCGUGAGCUGUGGGUUAUUCUGAAACGGGGCUCACUUGGUUUCUCCUCUUACAGCUACAGAUAAUUAAAUAUUAGUUGCCAAAUGGGCUCAUGCUGCAAUCUCCUGCUGCCUAGGAGAAACAUCUGCAGAUGAGUUGCAUAGCAAAUCUCUGUCUUGAUUUGGCCUAGUAAAUAUUUAAUUUUCCUAGGGAUAAAGGAGACAGCUGGAAGCACAUUCCUUCUCCAAGCCAGACUGAGAACCCAAAGUAGAAGAUGAAUUUAUCAUUUAAUUCAACUGAAGGGGAAAAUGCACAGCUAUCUGUCUUGAACACAUCAUCCCUUACUGCUGACCUCUGAGGUUAGACUUGACCAUGCAGGGAAUGUAGGCUGGGGACAGUUAUUUUGUGAUUGCUGCAGUACCUUUGAGGUCUAAGGCAACAGAAACAUAAUGACUUGGGUAUCUAUGCCCACUGCCAAAAAUAUAGGUGACUGGGAAAGUCAGGAGUGCAGGUAUCAAAGUACUGCAGGAUUUUGAAAAUGUGAAUUUAGGUUUUAAAUGCCAAAAGUACCAGAUCUUUGUGACUUCUGAUGAGACUGAUUUUAACAAUAUCAUCACAAGCAUUCAAUGGAGAAAUAAAGAUUACUUGAGCACUUUUGCCUUAGUUUAA